UACGUAGGGUGCGAGCGUUAAUCGGAAUUACUGGGCGUAAAGCGUGCGCAGGCGGUUUUGUAAGUCAGAUGUGAAAUCCCCGGGCUCAACCUGGGAACUGCGUUUGAAACUACAAGGCUAGAGUGUAGCAGAGGGGGGUAGAAUUCCACGUGUAGCAGUGAAAUGCGAUAGAGAUGUGGAGGAAUACCAAUGGCGAAGGCAGCCCCCUGGGUUA
Molecule: ribosomal RNA, 214 nt
Filed under: uncultured bacterium
Lineage: Bacteria
Description: partial 16S ribosomal RNA
Rfam family: Bacterial small subunit ribosomal RNA
Source: RNAcentral